RNAcentral lists this ribosomal RNA (229 nucleotides) under uncultured fungus. RNAcentral's name for it is "partial 18S ribosomal RNA". It matches the Rfam family "Eukaryotic small subunit ribosomal RNA", at positions 40 to 341 of the family's 1831-position model. Lineage: Eukaryota; Fungi. The record is from RNAcentral.
AAGAUUAAGCCAUGCAUGUCUAAGUAUAAGCGUUAUACUGUGAAACUGCGAAUGGCCCAUUAAAUCAGUUAUAGUUUAUUUGAAGAUAAUAACCAUUAGGAUAACCGUGGUAAUUCUAGAGCUAAUACUUGCUUCUAGGCUUUAUUAGAUAUGAAUCACAAUAACUUCAGAUCGUUCUGACGCUUCAUUCAAAUUUCUGCCCUAUCAGCUAGAUGGCAAGGUAUUGGCU